This 1414-nucleotide ribosomal RNA is filed under the name uncultured Bordetella sp. Its description in RNAcentral is "partial 16S-23S ribosomal RNA intergenic spacer". It matches the Rfam family "Bacterial small subunit ribosomal RNA". The record is from RNAcentral. Lineage: Bacteria; Pseudomonadati; Pseudomonadota; Betaproteobacteria; Burkholderiales; Alcaligenaceae.
UUGAGUCAUAAACUCAGGUCGGGCUGGCGGAUGCUUUACACAUGCAAGUCGGUGGCAAUACGGACUUUGAUCUACGGGCGAGUGGCGAACCGGAGUGGUAAUGUAUCGGAACGUGCCUAGUAGCGAAGGGAUAACUCGCCGGCAUAACGCAAUACCGCAUACGCCCUUCGGGGAAAGCGGGGGACCUUCGGGCCUCGCACUAUUAAGCGGCCGAUAUCGGAUUAGCUAGUUGGUGAUGCGCGCCGGCUCGCAAGGCGGCGAUCCAUCGCUGGUUUUGAAAGGACGACCAGCCACUGGGACUGAGACACGGCCCGGGCUCUACGGGAGGCAGCGGUGAAAUUUUGGACAAUGGGGAAACCCUGAUCCAGCCAUCCCGCGUGUGCGAUGAAGGCCUUCGGGUUGCAAAACGCCUUUGGCGAAAGAAACGGCGGGAUGGCAUACCCCGUGCAACUGACAUUGCAGAAUAACACCAGCUAUUUACGUGCUGGCAGCCGCGGUAUACGUAGGGUGCAAGCGUUAAUCGGAAUUACUGGGCGUAGCGUGCGCAGGCGGUUCGGAAAAGAAGAUGUGAAAUCCCAGAGCUUAACUUUGGAACUGCAUUUUUAACUACCGAGCUAGAGUGUGUCAGGAGGUGGAAUUCCACGUGUAGCAGUGAAAUGCGUAGUCAUACGGAGGAACACCGAUGGCGGCAGCCUCCUGGGAUAACGACGCUCAUGCACGAAAGCGUGGGAGCAAACAGGAUUAGAUACCCUGACAGUCCACCUAACGAUAUCAACUGUGUUGGGCCUUUAGACUGGUAACGCAACUAACGCGUGAAGUUGACCGCCUGGGGAGUACGGUCGCGGACAAAACUCAAGGAGUGACGCGGGGACCCGCACAAGCGGUGGAUGAUGUGGAUUAAAUUGAUGCAACGCGAAAAACCGCCCCUACCCUUGACAUGUCUGGAAUCCCGAAGAGAUUUUGGGGUGCUCGCAAGAGAGAACCGGAACACAGGUGCUGCAUGGCUGUCGUCAGCUCGUGUCGUGAGAUGUUGGUUGAUCCGCAACGAGCGCAACCCUUGUCAUUAGUUGCUACGGGCACUCAACAGUUGGUGACAAACCGGAGGAAGGUGGGGAUGACUGUCAAGUCUCCCUUGGGCCUUAUGGAGUAGGCUACACGUCACCGUGGUCGGGACAGAGGGUCGCCAACCCGCGAGGGAGCCAAUCCCAGAAACCCGAUCGUAGUCCGGAUCAUGAUCUGCAACUCGGCCACGUGAAGUCGAAUCGCUGGUAAUGCGGGUCGGCAUGUCAUGGUGAAUACGUUCCGGGUCUUUGUACUGCCGUCACCUGCUGGGGUGGUUUUACCAGAAGUAGUUAGCCUAACCGCGGGCGAUUGCCACGGUGGAUUCGACUGGGGUGAAGUCGUAACAAGGUAA